GCCUGGGUAGCUCAGUUGGUUGAGCGUCCAACUUUGGCUCAGGUCACGAUCUCAUGGUUUGUGGGUUCGAGCCCCACGUCGGGCU
This is a transfer RNA of Felis catus (domestic cat), 85 nucleotides long. It matches the Rfam family "tRNA". Rfam says of the family: Transfer RNA (tRNA) molecules are approximately 80 nucleotides in length. Their secondary structure includes four short double-helical elements and three loops (D, anti-codon, and T loops). The record is from Rfam. Lineage: Eukaryota; Metazoa; Chordata; Mammalia; Carnivora; Felidae.